RNAcentral lists this long non-coding RNA (2804 nucleotides) under Homo sapiens (human). RNAcentral's name for it is "HSALNT0390501". Lineage: Eukaryota; Metazoa; Chordata; Mammalia; Primates; Hominidae. The record is from RNAcentral.
CUCCGUCUCAGGGGGGAAAAAAACCCAAAAAAACUCCUAAAUGCCAAAAGCAUCAGGACACAAUUCUACCUCUCUUUCAGCUUUCUUUACUUUCCCUUUUCCUUGUACCAGUGAGUUGGAUGAUCAGUCAGGUACCUAAACAUGGGGAUAGAAAGGGAAUGGGAAACCCAUCCCCCAUUCGGUUAAGACCUCUGCCCAGCACAUGGGCUGUAGAUCCUCUUCUCCUCAUGUGAGUUUCACCUUAGGACUCAAGUCAGCCAACCUGGCAGAGAUCUUGUGAACAGGAGUCAUCUUAGGUGACAGUGUAACCGCCCAAGGGGUUCGCCUUGUCUGCUGCCUAGGAUAGCCGAUUUAUCAAGACAGGGUAAUUGUAAUAGAGAAAGAAUAAUUCAUGCAGAGCCAGCUGUGCUGGAGACUGGAGUUUUAUUAUUACUCAAAUCAGUCUCCCUCAAAACUCUUUUAUUAUUACUCAAAUCUGUCUCCCCAAAAACUCGGGGAUCCGAGUUUUUAAGGAUAAUUUGGUGGGUAGUGGCCAGUGAAUCGGGAGUGCUGAUUGGUUGGCUCAGGGAUGAAAUCAUAGGGAGUGGAAGCUGUUCUCUUCUGCUGAGUCAGUUCCUGGGUGGGGGGCCACAGAACUGGUUGGCAGGUCCAGGUGGGGCCCUCUGGUUGUUAGAAAUGGAAAAACCUGAAAAGACAUCUCGAAAGGCCGAUCUUAGGUUCACAAUAGUGAUGUUACCUUCAAGAGUAAUUUAGGGAAGUUGCAAAUCUUAUAACCUCCGGAAUAAUGGCUGGUAAUAUUUAGAAUUCCAGCCCCUUUCAUCUUGACUUGGUGGCUGGUGGCCUUUCAUUAGUUUUACCAGAACAGUUUAGCCAUUUGGGAAGGGCUAUUAUAUAAACUAUACACUAAAUUUCUUUCCAAAGCUAGUUCGGCCUACGCUUAGGAAUGAACAAGGACAGUUGAGAAGUUAGAAACAAGAUGGGGUCAGUUAGGUCUGAUAUCUUUUACUAUCAUAAUUUUCUCAGUUAUGAUUUUUGCAAAGGUGGUUUCAAUAGGGCUCACUUGAGUUCCUGGUGAACCCUGACUCAGGCUGCCAGGGACAGCUCAAUCCACCUGGUCUUCAAAAGAGGGUGUGUCACUUGCCCAAGGUUUCAGUGUUAGAGCCAAAGAGGCCAAGAGUCCAAGAAUGUGGCCUCGUGCUCUCCAGCUGGCCUCCUUCCUGGUGGUGGGAGAUGCAAAGGUGGGAGGGAGGGGCAGAUGGGCAUGAGUUCAACCCGCACACUCCACCUGGGAAGGAUGAACGAGUUUUGGGAAUCAACUAGGUACCAGGCACAUGAUCCCCCCACCACCCUGGAAAUAGGGUUUAAGCGCAGCAUUCCCAUUUUCUUUUUUCUUUUUUUUGAGACGGAGUCUCUUUCUGUCGCCCAGGCUGGAGUGCAGUGGCACGAUCUCCGCUCACUGCAAGCUCCGCCUCCCGGGUUCACGCCAUUCUCCUGCCUCAGCCUCCCAAGUAGCUGGGACUACAGGCGGCCGCCACCACGCCCGGCUAAUUUUUUGUAUUUUUUAGUAGAGACGGGGUUUCACCGUGUUAGCCAGGAUGGUCUCGGUCUCCUGACCUCGUGAUUCGCCCGCCUCGGCCUCCCAAAGUGCUGAGAUUACAGGCGUGAGCCACCGCGCCCGGCCAGCAUUCCCAUUUUCACACAUGAAAAAAGCAGAAGCUCUGGGACAUUAAGAAAGCGCCUUGCGGGGAGCAGGGAGGAGGGGCCAAGGUUGAAAACCCAUGUAUUGGGUACUGUGUGCUCACUUCCUGAGUGACAGGUUUAGUCAUACUCCAGACCUCAGCAUAACACAAUAUAGCUAUGUGUUGUUGUUGUUUGUUGUUGUUGUUGCUGUUUUUGAGACAGAGUCUCGCUCAGUUCCCAGGCUGGAGUGCAGUGGGGUGAUCUCAGCUCCCUAUAUACCUUUAUAAUCUGCAUGUGUAUCCCUGGAAUCUAAAAUAAAAGCUGAAAGACAAAAACAAACAAACAAAAAACAAAGAAAGCGUCUUGCCCAAGGGCUCCGUGUGGCAAGUGGUGGUCAGGCUGGAUGGUGGGUGCAGGUCUGCACUGCUCUAUCUGCCCCCCAAAAGCAGAAGGACAGGGCCCUCAGUGAUCUGAGGACUGAUGAGGGUGGGCUCAGGAGGAAGAGGCCACCGAGGGUGUCCUCGUGCUGGCAAUUCUGCAAGAUGUGUUGCAGGGCAUUCUGCGACUAAAACCUUGUGCUGGGGGUUAGUGACCAGGGCUGACUAGACCCCUUUCUUGGCUUCACAGUUCCCUUCCAAGACAACGAAAAGCACAUACUGCAUGCUCAGCACUAAGAGGCUCCACUUACUUCAUUCUCACAUCAGCCCUGUAAUCUACUCAUUCUCCCAUUUUACAGAUGAGAAACAGGAGGAACAGGAUGUAUGUAACUUGCCCAAGGUCACAGAGCCAAGAGGUGGCUGAAGCCAGACUUGAACCCAGGCAUUCAGCUAAGAAACUGCAUUCUUAAGCAAAACAUCACAAGACCUGCUCUAGAGAAAGUGUUCCUGCCUCCUGCUAGGCAAGGUGAUGCCCUAGGGGAAAGGAAGGAGGAGAAAGAUGGGGUUUCGCCAUGUUGCCCAGGAUGAUCUUGAACUCCCAGGCUCCUCCUACCUUGGCCUCCCAAAGUGCUGAGAUUACAGAUACCCACAACAGGUGAAGGAGAGAAAGCAGUCCCACAGACACCCUUCUCUGCUGGAAAGUCCUUCCUAUCUGACUCCAGUCCCACUUGCUGGAGGAGUUCCCCU